Molecule: ribosomal RNA, 406 nt
Filed under: uncultured bacterium
Lineage: Bacteria
Description: partial 16S ribosomal RNA
Rfam family: Bacterial small subunit ribosomal RNA
Source: RNAcentral
AUUGAACGCUGGCGGCAGGCUUAACACAUGCAAGUCGAGCGAGCGGCGGACGGGUGAGUAAUGUCUGGGAAACUGCCUGAUGGAGGGGGAUAACUACUGGAAACGGUAGCUAAUACCGCAUACCAUCAGAUGACCCCAUAUGGGAUUAGCUAGUAGUUGGGGUAAUGGCUCACCUAGGCGACGAUCCCUAGCUGGUCUGAGAGGUUGACCAGCCACACUGUAACUGAGACACGGUCCAGACUCCUACGUGAGGCAGCAGUGGGGAAUAUUGCACAAUGGGCGCAAGCCUGAUGCAGCCAGGCCGCGUGUGUGAAGAAGGCCUUAGGGUUGUAAAGCACUUUCAGCGAGGAGGCGUUACUCGCAGAAGAAGCACCGGCUAACUCCGUGCCAGCAGCCGCGUUAAUUC